RNAcentral lists this ribosomal RNA (190 nucleotides) under uncultured bacterium. RNAcentral's name for it is "partial 16S ribosomal RNA". It matches the Rfam family "Bacterial small subunit ribosomal RNA", at positions 340 to 523 of the family's 1533-position model. The record is from RNAcentral.
UACGGGAGGCAGCAGUGGGGAAUCUUGCGCAAUGCGCGAAGCGUGACGCAGCAACACCGCGUGAGGGAAGACGGCCUUAGGGUUGUAAACCUCUUUCAGAUGGGACGAAGGUUCAGCGGUGAAUAGCCGACUGAAUUGACGGUACCGUCAGAAGAAGCUCCGGCUAACUACGUGCCAGCAGCCGCGGUAA